AUGCGAUAAGUAAUGUGAAUUGCAGAAUUCAGUGAAUCAUCGAAUCUUUGAACGCACCUUGCGCUCCUUGGUAUUCCGAGGAGCAUGCCUGUUUGAGUGUCGUUGAAUUCUCACAACCCUUCCCAUAGCCCAAUCUUUCGGUUGGAGAUGGUGGGGGACGCUGUGGAUUGGUGGAGGUCUUGCAGGUGGGGAUUCAUUCCCUCUGCUCCUCUGAAAGGCAUCGCACAACGCAAUGCACGAGAAGCACCUGUCGUCGUCGGUAUGAUACAAGUCUUACCUGGUUCCGAUGGGUGUCGUGCGCGGUCACACAUUUGACCUCAAAUCAGGCAGGACUACCCGCUGAACUUAA
This 349-nucleotide unclassified non-coding RNA is filed under the name uncultured Agaricomycetes. RNAcentral's name for it is "partial contains 5.8S ribosomal RNA, internal transcribed spacer 2, and large subunit ribosomal RNA". The stretch from base 1 to 102 matches the Rfam family "5.8S ribosomal RNA", at positions 53 to 154 of the family's 154-position model. The record is from RNAcentral. Lineage: Eukaryota; Fungi; Basidiomycota; Agaricomycetes.